Molecule: long non-coding RNA, 1113 nt
Organism: Pogoniulus pusillus (Red-fronted tinkerbird)
Lineage: Eukaryota; Metazoa; Chordata; Aves; Piciformes; Lybiidae
Exons: 3
Source: RefSeq, a predicted model, not a curated record
CACUCUGGGCUAAAGAGAAACAGAGCUCAAAAGCCAGCUCAUGCUUAAAUACACUUGGAAUCCACAAGAACAGAAGGGUUUUCAAAGUUAUCCUGAAGAAUUCGGUCCAGGAGGUUUUCUUGAAUCCUCCCACUGACCAGCCACCACCCCACCUGAGAAGGGAGAGCACUUGCUACAGAGAGAGAAGCAUCGCCUCCCCUGUGGCAGCCUGGCAACCCCCAGGAGUGCUCAGCAAAGAGAUCAGCAUCGAUGGACUCAGAUUUUCCUCCACUGAGCGGCAUGCCUUCAGGAGGUAUCAAGCCUGUGGUUCUCCUUAAUUAUUCCCUUGCAAAAGAUCCAGCUGACAAGGUUCCCCUACCCAGACACUUCUCUCCAUCUAUCACAGCCACAGCCUCGUGCCACAAAUACCCAAGCUUGCUACUUAAUACCUAGGUAACAUUACGAAUGUUCCAGGUUUGAAAUUCUGCAGUUCGGCAUAGAGGCCAGCAGACAUCCAGUAAUUUUUCAGCAUAUGCACCUUCUGACACUUUCUUGAAGAACAGCACUACAGAUCUAGAGAAAGAUGGUUGCAAAAGUGUAAACUGUGAAGUCCAUAAUGCAGUUGUUUCAAAAGUGAGCACAAAAGGAAUCAACUCACAAUGAAGCCAGCUGCAAAAUAAGAUUAGGAGAAUUUCUGCUGUGGAUAAAACUGGACUUGAUGACCUCUGACACUUUCUGGGCACUUCUAAAAUGGAAACAGGCAGAAGCCGCAGGACUUGUACACAAAGCACACACAUCUUUCCUACAGAUCCUGUGCAAAAUGUGCUUCACUAAUGUGACUUUUUCCGCUGCCAACUACAUAUGGAUCUAUUUUAAUGUGUUGUCACUGUGUAAUAAGAAAGCUGUCUUAACAACAAAAUCCAGCAAUUACUGAGGAUGGGGAUUCUGAAGUCAAAACACACCCAGAUGAGAAACACUUUCUAGAAAACAUCAUGUAUUUCUCUAACUCAUACCCAGGGUACCAAGAUUAAAGCUGUGAGUCUAGAAGGCCAAUGAAUAUACAAGCAAUGAGAAAAUGAGAAGGAAAUAAAAAAGUGAUGAUAUACCCAGGAGUCUCCCCCUCCCCCCUCGUCU